Molecule: non-coding RNA, 29 nt
Filed under: Mus musculus (house mouse)
Lineage: Eukaryota; Metazoa; Chordata; Mammalia; Rodentia; Muridae
Source: RNAcentral
UCGGAGAGAUUGAAGAAGACCUGCUCAGG